Molecule: long non-coding RNA, 574 nt
Organism: Daucus carota subsp. sativus
Lineage: Eukaryota; Viridiplantae; Streptophyta; Magnoliopsida; Apiales; Apiaceae
Exons: 3
Source: RefSeq, a predicted model, not a curated record
UUUUUGACUGGUUUUGAUUCCAUAUAAAAUACAUAUAUCUAUGAAUCUCUAGUGUCUUCCGCCACAUCAAGUACUCUGCAGCCUUGCUGACUCACUGUCCUUAUCAGCUCUCUGCUCUCUCUCCCCACCAACUCAUCUCUCUCCCUCUCCCUCUCCCUCUCCCUCUCUCUCUCUCUCUCUGGUGCAGUGCAGGUAAAACUACACAUGCAGAAGUGUUCUCCCAUUUUAUUUCUGUAAUUUGUGAUCGUUUUUCCUCGUCUCUAUAAAUUUGGAGUUAUACAUGUGUCUUCUAAUGCAUUUCUUUGUUAUUGUCGUCAGCUUAGUAUAAAUACCGAGAGUUUUCGAUGGAGGCUAGCUAAGGAACCAACGUCUGCAUGUGUUCUUCUUCAUCAAUAACUCUACUCUCAAUAAGCUCAAACUCUUCAGCUGAUCAUAUUUUGUGCUUUAUCUGAUGGAAAUCCUUGUUCGGAAUCCUUUUUACUAUCCUGAUUUUGAACAACUAUACGAAAGGCUACACCCUCCAAGGGUCUGUAUUGACAAUGAUACCUGCCAAGACUGCACUCUCGUAAAGGUU